ACACGGAAGGGUAGCUCUGUCCUAAGGAGGGUGCAAAGGUCACGCGCUAUGGUGUGCAAUGCUCCAGUUCUGUGUGUUUGAUGCAGUCGGGGAAGACGUUCCAGAGGAGGAGGUUCUAGGUAGAACAUGGAAAAUGGAACACUGAAGAGAAGGCAGAGGUGUGAGAUUGGAGCCUGCACUGAAUCUGUGAAGGUGACCCUGUGAAAGGGUCGUUGGAAAUCCCGAAGGAGUUACGACCCACAGGUUGAGAACUACCGUCCAAGCGGGUUCUCUCAUACUCAUCUAGAGAGACACAUUAGUGUGAGAGAGAACAGGCAAGAGUGCCAAGAUCCAGAGAAUCCUGACACCACGUGAGCAAUGCUUACAUAGUACCAUUGGCUGUGGCUGCUCAGAUCUGGAGACAAUCAUCCUUCAAAGUUCUGAGGGUACUGGACUGGCAAGGACGCCAUAAGCCUGACCUGGAAGGCCUCACUCGACCCUCCUCUCUGGUUUUCAUCCUCCCUACAUGUCUCCAGCAGCUGGGAAAGCCAUCUGGGAAAAACUGAAAUGUCUGUAAGAAAGGCGUACCACUCCCAACAGCUGCAGUGGACACCCGGAUAUCCUAGACUGGGUCAUUUACAGUGACAUUUUUUUUCUCAUGGAUCUGGAGACUAAAGAACUCCAAGAUCAAGAACCUUCAGCCAUCAGGGACUUCCUGGAAGAAUGCAGAGAGCAGAAGGCAUGCUUGAAUGCAGAAGGACUCAACUCACUCAAAUAGAACAGCCAUUCUCAAGAUGAAGAGCCUCUUGACAUUCCCAAGGGAAGAUUCUGACGCUAUCACCCUCACAAGCCCCUAUCUUGGCAUUGCUGUAAAAGGGAGAACUUUCCAACAAAUGAACUUUGGGGGACACAGUCAAAUCAUCGCAUUCCCCACCCCCCAUCUCUCAUCUGGCCUUCUUAUCUCUGUACAGUGACACUGGAAACCAAUUGCUGUGUUUAAGCUACUGAGAACUUGUGUUAAAAGAGCAAAGCCUUUCUCGAGCUAGCACAAGCAUACUGUGGGGGUGGGCUGGGCUUAGCGGUUGCCAUGUGUUGAUGUAAUGCUUCCACAGUGUUCAGUGUCUCCCAGACUGCGCAAAAUGCAUCACAGGCAGUGGAGCGCGUGGCCCCUUGCAGCCCUGUGGGACGGAAGAGUUUUAUUACGUCUGUUUUGCAGAGGAGGAGGAAACAGAGGCAAAAAUAGAUUAAGUAACUUGAUAAGAAUAUCAAGGCUAACAUUUACCAUUUCUGGAUUCCAUCAGCCACAGCUGACAUGUGAGAUGACUUGUGAGGAACUCAGGUCUGGCAGGUACUAGAUGCUCAGUAAAUCCUUCCUAUUGUCAUUCCCCAGCCCACCCGCUCCCCAUGUCCUCAGACAUCCAGUUCCAAGACUGUGAAGGGAGACCUUGCCGGAAUUCUCACCUCACACAGCCAUCAAAAUGGCUCCGGCCUGGGCAGAGCUAAGCAACACUGGAACCAUUGUGGUUUUCCAUUUUAAAGGGUGUGCAUUGCCUCUUGGCCUUUUGGCUUAGGUCAAGUGAAAAGUGUGCUACUCUGUGCUUCCCUGCCCUGCCCUGCCCUGCAUCUGCCCUGCAUCUACCCUGUCUGCCCUGCCCUGUGCUAGCCCUGCCCUCACCCCUGCACCUGCUCCUGACCACUGUUCCCACACCUGCUCUUGCUGCCAGCCGCACCCCCACCCAUCCCCCUGGGCAAGGCGAAUCAGCUGAAGGCACUGGCCUCAUCUGGGUAACGUAAGCUUCUUUGGUGCUUGGUUUUCAUCUCUUGCCAUGGGAUUAUGUUUCUUGUAACCCUACUUCCUGGCUCUCUUGCACACUAGAUUUAUAAGGGCUGUGCACUUUGACCCUAGGGUGGAUUUGGUUGCCCUCCCUCAGAGCAGACUUGUCUGGUACAUGAAGUUGGAGAUCCUGUUUAAGUGUUUUGUUUUGUUGUUUUAAAUCAAGGGGAUAAAAACACAUGGAAGAGGGUGUGGGGACUGCCAUGGUUGAAACCUACCUCUGAUAAGCUGCAGAUGGGGUACCCUGGGCCUGAGUGGUUCAGACACUAAGAAAGUGGCCUCUGUUGUUUCAUCAGACACAGAGCUAGAAAGCUCUGUCCACCCUGUCUAUGGCUGGACAACAGCAUGAGUGCUAGAGUCCCAAGGUCCUGGACAGAACCAGCACUGGCCAUGUUAAUACAAUCCCAGUGGCCUCACGGUCCCACUCUGGACCAUUUUCUGGGGGAUACUGGCUAUGGAUGAUGUUGGGUAGGUGCUGUUGGUAUUCAGAAUCUCUUUGCAUCUCUUUGGGAAACCCUUCACGUCUGGGGAUCUUGGAGGUUGCCCUGCAGAAUUAAGCCAGAUCAGCACCAAAGGGCCCUUCUGUCAAUCAUUACACCCAAACCAAACCACCUGAGCUUGCUACUCUCAAAGAAGACAUAGGUUUGGUUCCCAGGACCACACGGAAGAAGAGAACAGCUCUCUUAAAUUGUCCUCUGACCUCUACUCCUCUCUCUGUCUCUGUCUCUGUCUCUGUCUCUGUCUCUGUCUCUGUCU
Mus caroli (Ryukyu mouse) is the source of this 2569-nucleotide long non-coding RNA. RefSeq lists it as uncharacterized. NCBI's taxonomy places the organism in Eukaryota, Metazoa, Chordata, Mammalia, Rodentia, Muridae. The record is from RefSeq and is a predicted model, not a curated record.